Molecule: ribosomal RNA, 484 nt
Filed under: uncultured bacterium
Lineage: Bacteria
Description: partial 16S ribosomal RNA
Rfam family: Bacterial small subunit ribosomal RNA
Source: RNAcentral
AUUGAACGCUGGCGGCAUGCUUUACACAUGCAAGUCGAACGGCAGCGCGGGCUUCGGCCUGGCGGCGAGUGGCGAACGGGUGAGUAAUGCAUCGGAACGUGCCCAGUAGUGGGGGAUAGCCCGGCGAAAGCCGGAUUAAUACCGCAUCCGACCUGAGGGUGAAAGCGGGGGACCGAAAGGCCUCGCGCUAUUGGAGCGGCCGAUGUCGGAUUAGCUCGUUGGUGGGGUAAAGGCUUACCAAGGCGACGAUCCGUAGCUGGUCUGAGAGGCCGACCAGCCACACGGGGACUGAGACACGUCCCAGACUCCGACGGAAGGCAGCAGUGGGGAAUUUUGGACAAUGGGGGCAACCCUGAUCCAGCCAUGCCGCGUGCGGGAAGAAGGCCUUCGGGUUGUAAACCGCUUUUGUUCGGGAAGAAAUCCUCUGGGCUAAUACCCCGGGGGGAUGACGGUACCGGAAGAAUAAGCACCGGCUAACUACGUG